Molecule: ribosomal RNA, 250 nt
Filed under: uncultured bacterium
Lineage: Bacteria
Description: partial 16S ribosomal RNA
Rfam family: Bacterial small subunit ribosomal RNA
Source: RNAcentral
UACGGAGGGUGCAAGCGUUAUCCGGAUUUACUGGGUUUAAAGGGUGCGUAGGUGGAUUAGUAAGUCAGGGGUGAAAUCUUCAAGCUUAACUUGGAAACUGCCUUUGAUACUAUUAGUCUUGAAUAUCCUGGAGGUGAGCGGAAUAUGUCAUGUAGCGGUGAAAUGCUUAGAUAUGACAUAGAACACCAAUUGCGAAGGCAGCUCACUACGGGAUUAUUGACACUGAGGCACGAAAGCGUGGGGAUCAAAC